CAUUUUUUACAAACUAAAGACAAAACCCUCCACCGGCACAAUGAUGACAGCUCGCUUUAUUGCUGUUCUUGCAUCGUGAUGGUGGUCUGGAACGGACCCCGCCAUCUCUCCAAGGUGGUUAUCCUGGUUCUUGUCACCGAUCUGCGCUGUCCGCAGUUACCUGCCUCCCCAGUGCCUGAUGCCCUUACUACUUACGAAAUGUUUGUUGGAUAAAUAAACUGCUUAAUAGUUUUCUGCUUAUGGAACAAGUUGUCUAGAUGCGUCUCAGGUUAGUAUCACAGUUCGUUCCUUUCUAGAAUGUGCAGGUUGGGCUUUCGUUGAUGACAAAAACCUUCCCAGCAUGCAUGACAGUUUCAGAGAAAUCCCAGUAAUUACCUCGAAAGGCCCUGAGUUCCUGACUCCUGGACUUUUAGAGCUGGAAGAGAGAUUGGAGGUCGUCUGAGCCAACGCCAUCCUUCUUUAGGCGAGAGCCGCGCAGUCCGGCGAAGAGAACGGAACUGGCACGUGUUCCACAUCUUGUCAUCUUUGCUGUGAUAUGGAAGUUGUCAUUAGGAUGCUACUUACGGAGCUUCACAAAAACAGACUCAAUCUGUUC
Molossus molossus (Pallas's mastiff bat) is the source of this 595-nucleotide long non-coding RNA. RefSeq lists it as uncharacterized. NCBI's taxonomy places the organism in Eukaryota, Metazoa, Chordata, Mammalia, Chiroptera, Molossidae. The transcript has 5 exons. The record is from RefSeq and is a predicted model, not a curated record.